Molecule: long non-coding RNA, 298 nt
Filed under: Mytilus galloprovincialis (Mediterranean mussel)
Lineage: Eukaryota; Metazoa; Mollusca; Bivalvia; Mytilida; Mytilidae
Source: RNAcentral
UUCAGCUUCAUCAAAAACUACCUUGACCAAAAACUUUAACCUGAAACUCCCACUUUCAUUUUCUAUGUUCAAUGGACCGUGAAAUUGGGGUCAAAAGUCUAAUUUGGCUUUAAAAUUAGAAAGAUCAUAUCAUAAGCAACAAGUGUACCAAGUUAUAAGUUGAUUGGAUUUCAGCUUCAUCAAAAACUACCUUGACUAAAAACUUUAACCUGAAGCAGGACGAACGAACGAACGGACGGACGGACGGACGAACGAACGAACGGAGCCACAGACCAGAAAACAUAAUGCCCCUCUACUA